This 406-nucleotide ribosomal RNA is filed under the name uncultured bacterium. RNAcentral describes it as "partial 16S ribosomal RNA". It matches the Rfam family "Bacterial small subunit ribosomal RNA", at positions 30 to 526 of the family's 1533-position model. The record is from RNAcentral.
AUUGAACGCUGGCGGCAGGCCUAACACAUGCAAGUCGAACGAGCGGCGGACGGGUGAGUAAUGUCUGGGAAUCUGCCUGAUGGAGGGGGAUAACUACUGGAAACGGUAGCUAAUACCGCAUACUCUCGGAUGUGCCCAUAUGGGAUUAGCUAGUAGGUGGGGUAAAGGCUCACCUAGGCGACGAUCCCUAGCUGGUCUGAGAGGAUGAUCAGCCACACUGGGACUGAGACACGGGCCAGACUCCUACGGGAGGCAGCAGGGGGGAAUAUUGCACAAUGGGCGCAAGCCUGAUGCAGCCAUGCCGCGUGUAUGAAGAAGGCCUUAGGGUUGUAAAGUACGUUCAGCGGGGAGGCGUUACCCGCAGAAGAAGCACCGGCUAACUCCGUGCCAGCAGCCGCGGUAAUAC